Molecule: ribosomal RNA, 574 nt
Filed under: Micrococcus luteus
Lineage: Bacteria; Bacillati; Actinomycetota; Actinomycetes; Micrococcales; Micrococcaceae
Description: bacterial SSU rRNA
Rfam family: Bacterial small subunit ribosomal RNA
Source: RNAcentral
UCGAACGAUGAAGCCCAGCUUGCUGGGUGGAUUAGUGGCGAACGGGUGAGUAACACGUGAGUAACCUGCCCUUAACUCUGGGAUAAGCCUGGGAAACUGGGUCUAAUACCGGAUAGGAGCGUCCACCGCAUGGUGGGUGUUGGAAAGAUUUAUCGGUUUUGGAUGGACUCGCGGCCUAUCAGCUUGUUGGUGAGGUAAUGGCUCACCAAGGCGACGACGGGUAGCCGGCCUGAGAGGGUGACCGGCCACACUGGGACUGAGACACGGCCCAGACUCCUACGGGAGGCAGCAGUGGGGAAUAUUGCACAAUGGGCGCAAGCCUGAUGCAGCGACGCCGCGUGAGGGAUGACGGCCUUCGGGUUGUAAACCUCUUUCAGUAGGGAAGAAGCGAAAGUGACGGUACCUGCAGAAGAAGCACCGGCUAACUACGUGCCAGCAGCCGCGGUAAUACGUAGGGUGCGAGCGUUAUCCGGAAUUAUUGGGCGUAAAGAGCUCGUAGGCGGUUUGUCGCGUCUGUCGUGAAAGUCCGGGGCUUAACCCCGGAUCUGCGGUGGGUACGGGCAGACUAGAGUGC